This 85-nucleotide microRNA precursor is filed under the name Tribolium castaneum (red flour beetle). RNAcentral's name for it is "microRNA tca-mir-11618a precursor (tca-mir-11618a-4)". Lineage: Eukaryota; Metazoa; Arthropoda; Insecta; Coleoptera; Tenebrionidae. The record is from miRBase by way of RNAcentral.
UGUUUUCGAUGUAUAGUUAGCAUUGGUCGUCUCUAUGCUUUUUUAUGAUCAUAUACCGAUCGAUGCUCGCUUUAUUUCGAAUCAC